RNAcentral lists this ribosomal RNA (253 nucleotides) under uncultured bacterium. Its description in RNAcentral is "partial 16S ribosomal RNA". It matches the Rfam family "Bacterial small subunit ribosomal RNA", at positions 524 to 776 of the family's 1533-position model. The record is from RNAcentral.
UACGGAGGAUCCGAGCGUUGUCCGGAUUUAUUGGGUUUAAAGGGUGCGUAGGCGGUUUGAUAAGUUAGAGGUGAAAUGUCGGGGCUCAACCCCGAAACUGCCUCUAAUACUGUUGGACUAGAGAAUAGUUGCGGUAGGCGGAAUGUAUGGUGUAGCGGUGAAAUGCUUAGAGAUCAUACAGAACACCGAUUGCGAAGGCAGCUUACCAAACUAUAUCUGACGUUGAGGCUCGAAAGCGUGGGGAGCAAACAGG